Molecule: long non-coding RNA, 3487 nt
Organism: Nerophis ophidion (straightnose pipefish)
Lineage: Eukaryota; Metazoa; Chordata; Actinopteri; Syngnathiformes; Syngnathidae
Exons: 2
Source: RefSeq, a predicted model, not a curated record
UGUGUGUGUGUGUGUGUGUGUUAUCUUACAAUGGACCUUCAACUGCUACUGUCUCAGGCGCCAAUAUGUUGGCCAGGCUUCCUGUUAAAGACCCAUUCCUCGCACACUUCCUAUCCCAGUUGACACUGUGAGUCCGCUAACAGCCAAGGACUUCAAGGACAUCAACGCAGAUAAGACGUCAGCAUGCAGACGAAGCAGAGACAAGGCGAAAUCACAAGGCCACUAACAGCCAAGGACUUCAAGGACCUCAACGCAGAUAAGACGUCAGCACGCAGACGAAGCAGAGACAAGGCGAAAUCACAAGGCUGCUAACAGCCAAGGACUUCAAGGACCUCAACGCAGAUAAGAAGUCAGCACACAGAUGAAGCAGAGACAAGGCGAAAUCACAAGGCCCCAGCACAUUCCGUCACAUAUUGUGCGUCCUGGACCUGCUUUGCAUAAUAUAUGACCACUCCUUUUAGAGGCGGCCACAGUGAUGUUGACUGUGGAACUCCUGAAUAAAUACAGGGACGCGGGAGCUUAACCUUUGAACGUAGGGCGAGACUGUGACUAAGUGUGCAGCUCCAUGUGUUCUCCUCAUGAGCUAAAUUGAACUCCGUCUCUGCAUGGGACGGUAUAGCUCGGUUGGUAGAGCGGCCGUGCCAGCAACUUGAGGGUUGCAGGUUCGAUCCCCGCUUCUGCCAUCCUAGUCACUGCCGUUGUGUCCUUGGGCAAGACACCUUACCCACAUGCUCCCAGUGCCACCCACGCUGGUUUAAAUGUAACUUAGAUAUUGGGUUGCACUAUGUAAAGCGCUUUGAGUCACUAGAGAAAAAGCACUAUAUGGAUAUAUUUCACUUCAUGGUUGCUUGCUUCUUGUCUGUGCAACAGAUGUUAUCAGUGUUUGAACCUGACACCAUUUCAACCUAUAUUCAAUUGAAUAGACUGCAAAGACAAGAUAUUUAAUGUUCGAACUGGAAAACUUUGUUAUUUUUUGGAAUUUGAUGUCUCCACUCCUAACCCUUUCAUUAAGCAUAUCUAGCCUUGUCACUGUGGCUAUGAUAACAAAUGAACAAAAAGACAAAAGUUAACUUUUUACUUUCACUGAGAUAAGUUAAGUAGACAACAAAAAGAAUAGAGCAAGAAAUGCAUCAUUCAUAUUAACUCAGCUCUAAAUUGUGAAAAAGGUUACAGAUUAUACAUUGUGUGACCUUCACAAUACAAACAAGUCCAAUUAUGGACUAAAAAUUUCCAUCCAAUGUUCGCUAAAACGACAACCUCCCGACAUGAUGGAGCGAUACACCACCAUCCUCUUGGGGGCGACACAGAGCCGUACAUACUUGAGGGCUCGUGCAAAGCCAACAGAUCAAGCGUUUAGAUUUCAUUUUUAAGGAAAUGUAUUUUAAUUUUUACCAUAAAUAGCCUAAUGAGUCAAACUGCCGAGAAAUACGAUGAACAUUUCCAAACAUUUAAAAGCACUUCACCCAAAAAUCAAGCAUUCCUCAAACCUUGAAAACACAUUAAAAUCCAAGCAUUUUCUAGGGUUUUUAAGCACGCGUACGAACCCUGAACAUUAAGUGUGGAUUUCUGGCUAUUGUACCAGUUUUCAACAGAUACAUGAUCUGGAAUUCUUCCCUCCAGAUUUGGUCAAAUAUUUACAAAGUAGUUAUUAAAGCUUUCAAUUACUUAAAUCAGAUUGUCAUUUUUCACGUUUCCGUCCGAGAAGUAUUAUCCAUAAAAAUAUCCUUUAGAAUGCCCCAUGUUGCUUUGUUUUGUUCUUUCCUAAAUAUUCACAGUAUGCCAGUUAGCUUAUUUGUUAAGCUUUGUAAAUAUUUUCCGUCCAUCUAGAUCUUUAUGUUCUACAUAAGGCAUUCAUCUAGUUACAAGCAUUUUUCAGUACAUUUGUCAUCUAUGGUUGAUCGUUCUUCUGCCACUUACCAAGUUGUUUCCAUGGACGAUGUUUGUCAUUGAGAAUCAUGAAAGUGAAAUGACUUCCUGUUUCAUCCAACAUCAUUUUCACUGUACGCAUCAUCCCAACUUGGCUUUUUUGCAGAUCAUUUUUAAAAGCCUUCAUACUUAUCUAUGUACGUAGUCUUUGAUAUGUCUUUUUUGUUCAUACUCUCUUUUCUCCCUGUAGUUUCCGUCACAGAUUGUAUAAACUGGGAGAUGAUCACAGAUGUUGGUUAUGCAAUCAAUCAAUGUUUACUUAUAUAGUCCUAAAUCACGAGUGUCUCAAAGGGCUGCACAAGCUACAACAACAGAUUGUAGUUUUACUGUCAAAAUCAUUAGUAAAAAUAUUAUCAAAAUAAUGUCUUGCGAUUCUGCCAUGUUUGUAAUUUAAGGAUACAAACUCAUGCUAUACAUUGUAUCUAUGAAGUCAUCAAUGGUAUUUUGCUAAUUUGGAUUAAAAAGGUCAAUGUUGGACUGAUCACUUAAGUCAUUUUUGACAGAUUUUAGUGAAGGUUGUCGUAAUGCAGUCCUCUUCAAAUCAAUCCUUGCCUUAAGUGUUCUAUAUAUGCAACUGAUAAAGAAAUGUUAGCUUUUUUUAUGACAACUUUCAAUGGUUAUACAUUCUAAAAUAUUUUCAAAAGCAAAAUGGAUGUAUGUUUUUUUUACCACUUUGUUUUUCAGAUUUUUCAUCACAAACAAAAAUACAAUAUUUUCAUAACUAGUAGAUAAAAAUAAAAAUGUUUUUUACUUUCUAAAUAUUUGGGCCCUUUAGACAUAAAGUGACACCUUUUAGUCACCUUGACACUCCCCAAUGUAGUAUUGCUUCCUGGGGCUGAGCCAAUCAGUUGUCACAAUACUGAACAGUGCGCUGUGAUUGGUUUGAUCUCUUCUAGUGGCCAAUACUACUGAAGUAUUGAUAUUUUUUAGUUUAGUUCAUAAAAGCAAUGUUUAUGAUUUUUAUUUUUUUAAUUUGUCAGUUUUAUUAUUAUUUUUCAUUUUAAUUUAUUUAUGUAUAUACAUUUUUUAACUUUUUAUUUGACUCAUUUGACCCUUAUUGCUUUUGUACUAUCUUUUUUAGCUCAUUCAUUGUUUUAUGAUCUUUGUUUCUGUUUUUGUUUUUUUUUGCUCUAUGCUUUUUAACCUGUAAAGCAGUGGUCCCCAACCACCGGGCCGCGGACCGGUAUCGAUUGGUACUGGGCCGCACAAGAAAUUUAAAAAAAUAGUAAUAGUUUUGUAUUUUUUUAAAUGAUUAAAUCAACAUAAACAACACAAUAUAUACAUUAUAUAUCAAUACAGUCUGCAGGAAUACCAUCCAUAAGCACACAUAAUUGUAUUUCUUUAUGGAAAAAAAACAACAACAAAAAAAUCACCUCCCCGCCCGGUCCGUGGGACAAAUUUUCAAGCAGCUACAAAAAGGUUGGGGAUCAGCACUGCUGUAAAGCACUUUGGUCCAAUUUAAAACAUGUUGUAAAUGUGCGAAAUAAAUAAAGUUGCCUUGCCUUGCCUGGAAAAUGCUUAAUUUAAGGCACUGAUGUUAUAAAGGAUGCUUUAAACAAAA